CAGCCGCCGCGGUAAUACAGAGGAUGCAAGCGUUAUCCGGAAUGAUUGGGCGUAAAGGGUGCGUAGGCGGUUCAGCAAGUCUCGUGUGAAAUCUUCGGGCUCAACCCGAAGUCUGCACGGGAAACUACUGGGCGUGAGUAUUGGAGAGGUGAGUGGAAUUUCCGGUGUAGCGGUGAAAUGCGUAGAUAUCGGAAGGAACACCUGUGGCGAAAGCGGCUCACUGGACAAUAACUGACGCUGAUGCACGAGAGCUAGGGGAGCAAACAGGAUUAGAUACCCCAGUAGUCCCUGUCUCUUAUAC
RNAcentral lists this ribosomal RNA (301 nucleotides) under uncultured bacterium. RNAcentral's name for it is "partial 16S ribosomal RNA". It matches the Rfam family "Bacterial small subunit ribosomal RNA", at positions 509 to 807 of the family's 1533-position model. The record is from RNAcentral.